AAGAAGUCAGGCACGUGAAUGGAUCGCGCUGUGAUGGCGCCGCCGCUGCUCGUCCUCCUGCUGCUCCUCCUCUCGCGGUGUUCGGCGGCGGCGCCACGGCACGGCGCCGAGGGCUGGUGGGAGGAGGGCGAGGGGGAAUGGAGGCCGGCCGAGGAGGAAGAGCAGGGCAAGCAGGGCAAGGGGAGGGGGCUGUUCGUGCUGGACCGGCUGGAGAAGGUGGUCGAGUCGGAGGGCGGGCAGGUGCGCGUGGUGCGCGGCCAGCCGUGGCCGCCGGCCGCCGCCUUCGCGUGCCGCGACGGGCUCAUGCACAUCGGCUUCAUCACCAUGGAGCCCAAGACGCUGUUCGUGCCGCAGUACCUCGACUCCAGCAUCACUCUCUUCGUGCAGCGGGGUACGUCGUGUGCACGCUGAUCUAUUUUCUAUGCGUGCGCGUGCGACACACUAGAACACGACGUACCGACCGAUGAGAUGGAAAUCGUGAUACUGUUGUGAUGAGCAGGGGAAGUGAAGGUUGGGUAUAUUCACAAGGAUGAGCUCGUGGAGAGGAAGCUCAAGAUGGGCGACGUGCUCCACAUCGACGCCGGAUCCACCUUCUACUUGGUCAACACCGGCAAAGGGCAGAGGCUACAGAUCAUAUGCAGCAUCGACGCCUCCGAUAGCCUUGGCUUCUUUGGACCUC
This 679-nucleotide long non-coding RNA is filed under the name Sorghum bicolor (sorghum). RNAcentral's name for it is "long non-coding RNA (SBIC_LNC001611)". Lineage: Eukaryota; Viridiplantae; Streptophyta; Magnoliopsida; Poales; Poaceae. The record is from RNAcentral.